Molecule: ribosomal RNA, 437 nt
Filed under: uncultured bacterium
Lineage: Bacteria
Description: partial 16S ribosomal RNA
Rfam family: Bacterial small subunit ribosomal RNA
Source: RNAcentral
GUAGGGAAUCUUCGGCAAUGGGGGCAACCCUGACCGAGCAACGCCGCGUGAGUGAAGAAGGUUUUCGGAUCGUAAAGCUCUGUUGUAAGUCAAGAACGGGUGUGAGAGUGGAAAGUUCACACUGUGACGGUAGCUUACCAGAAAGGGACGGCUAACUACGUGCCAGCAGCCGCGGUAAUACGUAGGUCCCGAGCGUUGUCCGGAUUUAUUGGGCGUAAAGCGAGCGCAGGCGGUUUGAUAAGUCUGAAGUUAAAGGCUGUGGCUCAACCAUAGUUCGCUUUGGAAACUGUCAAACUUGAGUGCAGAAGGGGAGAGUGGAAUUCCAUGUGUAGCGGUGAAAUGCGUAGAUAUAUGGAGGAACACCGGUGGCGAAAGCGGCUCUCUGGUCUGUAACUGACGCUGAGGCUCGAAAGCGUGGGGGAGCGAACAGGAUUAGA